This 591-nucleotide ribosomal RNA is filed under the name Triticum aestivum (bread wheat). RNAcentral's name for it is "partial small subunit ribosomal RNA". The record is from RNAcentral. Lineage: Eukaryota; Viridiplantae; Streptophyta; Magnoliopsida; Poales; Poaceae.
AUGAUUGGUGCUUUUUGGAAUAUAAGAGGCCUAAAUGUGUCCUCUAAAAUUACCAGGCUGCAGGAGCUUAUUAAAGCCACUUGCCCUGAUUUUAUUUGCAUUUCUGAAACUAAGAAAACUAAUUUUACUCUUCCUCAACUAGAUGCCAUUGAUACUAGAAGUGGUUUCUGGUGGAAAUGGCUUCCUGCUAUCAAUACAGCAGGGGGGGUCCUAGUUGGUGUUAAGGAAGAUAAUUUUGACAUAGUUAAGUGUGAUAUAAAGUCUUAUUGUAUUUCCUGUAUUUUAAAAUUUAAGCACAAUAGCACUGUGUGGAGACUAGUAGCAGUUUAUGGGUCUGCUUAUGAGGAGCAUAAGCUUGACUUUAUCAAUGAGUUGCAUUCUGUUUUAGCUAGCUGGUCUGGACCUACUUUAGUAGGUGGAGAUUUUAAUCUUAUCAGAGUAGCUGGGGAGAAAAGUACGGGUUUGAUUAACCAUCAUUGGGCAGACCUUUUUAAUGAUUGGAUCAACAAGUAUGGUCUCAUAGAAUUAAAAAUGCGGGUAGAAAAUUUACUUGGGCUAAUAACCAGGAUGACUUGGUUAUGGCUACUUUAG